This 294-nucleotide ribosomal RNA is filed under the name uncultured bacterium. RNAcentral describes it as "partial 16S ribosomal RNA". It matches the Rfam family "Bacterial small subunit ribosomal RNA", at positions 775 to 1067 of the family's 1533-position model. The record is from RNAcentral.
GGAUUAGAUACCCUGGUAGUCCACGCCCUAAACUAUGUCAACUGGUUGUCGGGGAAGCAAUUCCUUGGUAACGAAGCUAACGCGUGAAGUUGACCGCCUGGGGAGUACGGCCGCAAGGUUAAAACUCAAAGGAAUUGACGGGGACCCGCACAAGCGGUGGAUUAUGUGGAUUAAUUCGAUGCAACGCGAAAAACCUUACCUACCCUUGACAUGUACGGAAGCCUCCAGAGAUGGGGGUGUGCCCGAAAGGGAACCGUAACACAGGUGCUGCAUGGCUGUCGUCAGCUCGUGCCG